GCAGGUCAAAGGUUUUAUCCAGGCUGUCAAACUUGUGGCAUCUGACACUUCCCUCCCCAGAGCAGAAGCACUACCUAAAGGCAGGGGCUCUUCCUCCAUCAGCAAUUUACAUAGACUGCACUUAGAUGCUCUGGCUGCCCUUCUGCGGGGUGAGCUUCCUCCCACAUUCAAACAUGGAGCCUUUGUUCAACUUGGUCUGACCCAUAAAUGGGAGAAGCGUUGCUAAUACAGCUUUAAUGACACUCCCACACCAGCAAAAUUCUUGGCUCCUGAGGAGGAAGGAGGGCUGUUUGUCCUUGUUCGAGCUCUUUGCAAAGGAGAAUCGCUGAUCCUGCUCCAUCUGAGGGAGUGGGAAGCAAAUGCAAGUGGGGGAGGCAAGCGCCUCUGGACUCCAGAUGUGAUGCUCUGCAAGGCUCGUGUUGCCCUGUCUCCAGCAGCGAUUCCUCUGCAGGUCUCGUUAACCUUGUGCAAUUGGGCAGGAAAAGGCCAAGAGCAUGGACCUUCCAGAGUCCUUCCACCUGCUCCGAGCUUCAGAAGAGGGGUAAGGCUGCGGGACAGGGGUCAGAAUGUGCAGUCAGCCAGGGACACUGCCGGGACUCACCGUGAGUAUUCGCACCGCGUCUGCCAUGGAGGAGCUGUGCUCUUGGCUGCUGAGCUGGGGUGCCCUGCAAAAAAUGGAAGAUGCUUUCCAAUCAAGUGAGAGCUCUGUAUGCAUAAUAAACAUGUGAUUUUCUGAUGGCUAUGUACAGCACAAAUGCUGAAGAAUAGUCUGUGUGCCUUGUCAGAGCACUUAAGUUAAAUAGGGGCACUUUGCAUCAUUGUUUUGAUCUUCAAAAUAAGAGACAAUUGAAUGCGAAGAGCUGUAGGGAACUUUCAAAGGCACAUGAGCAAUUAGGAGCAUAAGUCCUCUUGGCCGAAUGAUCACUUUGGGAUAUUUUUCUUUUCCUGUAUCCUUAACUCCCCUCCAAGUAUUGAUGGCAAAAUAGGUCUUGGAAAAUUUGACUCCCUCCAGCUUGUUUGUCUUGUUGGUGAAUCUCUGGAUGUUCCAAGCCAUUUUAGGUUUCCUCUUCACUGCUAAUGGCUACUUUUACUGGGUUGGUAAAAUAACAUCCAGUUGCUGAUGAACUUCUGUUUUGCUGGAAGUCUGUCUGCAGGUCUUCCUAUAAAAAGGUUUGUGUGAUGGAGAUUGACUGGUAUAAAUGGUGCAUGUCUGUGUACAUAAUGUCUGUGUAUGAAUAGAUGAAAUUUUAUAGAAGGAAAACUUUCCUCCUUAGGGAAACACUCCUUAGUAGUGUUGGCUGAGUCUGAAUUCCUCUUGUAACACCACCAUCCAGAAUUUCAUAAAACUGCCAAUAUAGUAUCCAUGCUAAUGUCCUUUUUAGCUCCAAACCUGACAGGAGUUAUCUUGGACGUCUGUCACACUGAGUUUUUUAAGGAUUUUUACUAAUCAUGGAAUCAUGGAAUGGGUUGUAACAUUUUCAAGUACACCCGAGCGUGAAAGUCUUGCUUAUGAUCACUGGAGAAGCCCUCCAUGGCUGCCUCAACAGCA
This is a long non-coding RNA of Corvus hawaiiensis (hawaiian crow), 1549 nucleotides long. RefSeq lists it as uncharacterized. The transcript is spliced from 3 exons. Lineage: Eukaryota; Metazoa; Chordata; Aves; Passeriformes; Corvidae. The record is from RefSeq and is a predicted model, not a curated record.